RNAcentral lists this ribosomal RNA (405 nucleotides) under uncultured bacterium. Its description in RNAcentral is "partial 16S ribosomal RNA". It matches the Rfam family "Bacterial small subunit ribosomal RNA", at positions 30 to 526 of the family's 1533-position model. The record is from RNAcentral.
AUUGAACGCUAGCGGGAUGCUUUACACAUGCAAGUCGAACGAGUGGCGGACGGGUGAGUAAUAUAUCGGAACGUGCCCAGUAGCGGGGGAUAACUACUCGAAAGAGUGGCUAAUACCGCCUACUAUUGGAGCGGCCGAUAUCGGAUUAGCUAGUUGGUGGGGUAAAGGCUCACAAAGGCAACGAUCCGUAGCGGGUUUGAGAGGACGACCGCCCACACUGGGCCGGGGACACGGCCAGGACCCCUACGGGAGGCAGCAGUGGGGAAUUUUGGAAAAUGGGGGAAACCCUGAUCCGGCCAGCCCGCGUGUAGGAGAAGGCCUUCGGGUUUUAAAGUACUUUUGGCAGAGAAGCGGUAUCGGCAGAAUAAGCACCGGCUAACUACGUGCCAGCAGCCGCGGUAAUAC